Gopherus flavomarginatus (Mexican gopher tortoise) is the source of this 181-nucleotide long non-coding RNA. RefSeq lists it as uncharacterized. The transcript has 3 exons. The record is from RefSeq and is a predicted model, not a curated record. NCBI's taxonomy places the organism in Eukaryota, Metazoa, Chordata, Testudines, Testudinidae.
GGCGUAUAUUACAUUGGUGGAUGUGCAGGAGAGCACUUCAGCCUCCCUGGCCACACUAUAGCAGACCUUAAGGUGGCCAUCCUGCAGCAAAAAAACUUCAGGACCAGACUUCAAAGAGAAACUGCUGAGCUUCAGUUCAUCUGCAAAUUUGACACCAUCAGCUCAGGAUUAAACAAAGACU